Long non-coding RNA from Oncorhynchus kisutch (coho salmon), 913 nucleotides. RefSeq lists it as uncharacterized. The transcript has 3 exons. The record is from RefSeq and is a predicted model, not a curated record. NCBI's taxonomy places the organism in Eukaryota, Metazoa, Chordata, Actinopteri, Salmoniformes, Salmonidae.
UUCCACACAGUGGCUUAUCAAUCUUGAGUUAAUGGUGAUAUUAUAUAUACAGACGCCAAUGUUUUCUCUCUCUCAAGACCUCGGGAAGGCAAGGAGUCCCCUACUGUCCAAUCAGAGGCCAAGUUCUCCAGGAGGGAAGAAGAGAAGGAGAAGAUGAAGAGGACAGUACCACAGCACUCAGAGACCUCCCAACCCAAACACACCCCCACAGGCAGGUUCCCAGGGCCAACACAGCUCAGGUGCACAUCUGUUUCCAGGUCAGACUGAGGCUCUGUCAGAGGGGGUUCUCCAACCCUUCCCAGCAGGGGCUCCAAUCCAGGAAGAGGAAGGAGAUGGAGGAGACUAAAGGGUGGUGGGCUUUAGAGAUAGAGAUGGACGAACUGGAGUCCAUCAUGUCUGAGGACAUGGACGAAUCGGAUGAGCCCAUGUCAGCCAGUCAAGGCCAGCGGUUGAAGCUGACGGAACAGAGUUCAACCAUCAAGGCCAGACGGUCUCAACUGAUAGACAAGAGCUCAACCAAUAGAAAAUCGCUCCUAGAGACAGUGGAUCUUACCUCUGCCAAUAAGAAACAGCGGGUUUAUUCAGUGGAACCAAUCGCAGCCUAUCAUAGGUCAGGCUUUGAUUCAGAAGAGCGAUCGUCAGCCAGCAGACGACAGUUAGCGGAGCCUGUAGCUGAGGUCAAAGACGAAGAGGUGUCAUUCAUUGAGUCAAAACCAGUUUAAUGGUGUGACCCCUGGUCAUCUGGAAGAGCCAGAGACUGAUGUCAAACAGGAAGCCUCAGGUUUUAGGGGGUGAGAAUCUCCCCAGCAGACUUAUAGUGGUGGAGUUCAAAUCCCUCACCGGUGGCAACACCGGCAAGACCUAACCCACGCCCCAUGGAGACGCACGGCAAUGUCAUCAGGAAGGACUUUAA